Molecule: RNA transcript, 3523 nt
Organism: Catharus ustulatus (Swainson's thrush)
Lineage: Eukaryota; Metazoa; Chordata; Aves; Passeriformes; Turdidae
Gene name: pantetheinase
Exons: 9
Source: RefSeq, a predicted model, not a curated record
GUUUUCUUCAUGAUGCAUUUUGACUUCAUUAGGCAUAUUAAUCUCCUUUUCUGUUUUAUAAAUGAUGGAAGAGUAGACCUUGGGGUGACCCUAUGCUGUAACACCCUUGAAGGUGAGCUCACCCAGCAGCUUUGGCAAGGACAGGACAAGGUAAGUAUGUGUGCUUCUCUGUGCUGAUUGUACAUCUGCAACACAUCUUGCAGAAGUGGCUUUAGGGGUUUUGCAGGUUGUAGGUUUGUCAGGAUUUAUUGCUGAGGGGACUUUAUUUCUCCCUGCAACUACCUGAAAGGAGGUUGUGGUGAGGUGGAGGUUGGGUGGAUCAUUUCUGUCAAGUAACAGGACAUAAGGAAGUGGCCUCAGGUUGUGCCAGGGGAGGUUUAGAUUGGUUAUUAGGAAAAAUAAUCAUCAUUGAAAGGAUUAUCAAGCAUUGGAACAGGUUGCCCAGGGAAGUUACCAUCCCUGAAGGUAUUUAAAGAAUAUGUACAUGUGGUUCCUUUGAAAAAGAAAACAAGCCUCAAAACGUUGUACCUUCAAAAAACAGUUAUUCAGCUCAACAUAUUCUAAUGUUGUCAUACCAUCAUAGGUACUUCUUGAGGGUGGAGUUUACUUUAAUUUUUCUAGCCACAUUUUUAAGAUGUGGAAAAUCUCCCUUGCACAGAAUGGUUGAUAGCUGUUUGUAUCACAAAUGCUCAAAACAAGCAGUUUCUCAGGAGCAUGUCUGUGCUCCCAUGGAGUGGUUGCGAGGAGAGUCGGGACUGUGCCGGCAGGUGUUGGGUGAGGGGAGUGCACAGCUGGAGCAGCUGGGACACGCUGGCAUGUCUGCACAUGUGGACCCUGCAGACUGUACCUCUUAGGCAAGUGCACUGGAUUACUUUGUGCUUCCCAGCUGAGAUUUCUAUGUGUGCCUAAAUCUGCUGUUUGUUCUGGGGGUUUGUUUUGAAGCACAAACAUUGUUUAUAUUUAAUCUGACCGACAUAAUUAAAAAAUACAGACUCGUAGGAGGCAAAACACAUUGGGUUUUUGUAACAAAGGGAAUGUUUUAAAAAUAGGAUUGUCGUCCGUGAAAGUAUCAAACUGAAACCCUCUACUACUCAUAUAGUGGAAGUAAUGGGAAACAUUCUGCUUUGGGGGAGGAAAAGCACUGUGUCUUUAAAUUUCUAUCUGCUCCCUGGGUAAACAUGUCCUGUCAUGGCAUAAGAAACACAGCUGUGUGCUGUUGCCAGCAGUGAGCGCCUUCUGACUUCCUGUGUGCUGCUCACAUGUACUCAGUGCUGGGCAGUGAUUGCGUGGCUGCCGGAGUGACCUCUGACACAGCCUUCUCCAGGCAAGCUUAACCCUUGGAACGCGCAGUGCUCUUCCUCACUGGGCUCUCGCUAGGCACACGAAUGGAAGCCGGACCUCAGUCUGACAGACUCCCGCUACAGCUCCGCUGAUUUAGCACCAAACUGCGUCCCGCUUACAAAAACACUCUAGACAGUGGGAGGCUGCAGCCAUGCUCCCUUCCCAGGCUCUCCUACCUGCUGUGGUGUUUGCACUCACAGCCCUUCAGGCUCUUGCCUCCGACACCUUCCUGGCAGCCGUCUACGAGCACGCCGUCAUCCUGCCAGAUCCCACUGGCCAGCCCGUUUCUCCCAGCGAUGCUUUGGCCCUGAUGAACAAAAACAUGGAUGUCUUGGAAGGGGCCGUCAAGGAAGCUGCCCGGCAGGGUGCCCACAUCAUUGUGACUCCUGAAGACGGCAUCUAUGGCUGGCGAUUCACAAGAGAAUCCCUCUACCCAUACCUGGAGGAUAUCCCUGACCCGGUGGUGAAUUGGAUUCCCUGCACUGACCCCUCAAGAUUUGGUCCAGCACCAGUGCAGGAACGACUCAGCUGCAUGGCCAGAAAUAACUCCAUCUAUGUGGUUGCAAAUAUUGGGGACAAGAAGCCGUGUGACUCCAGUGAUCCCAGCUGUCCUGGGGACGGUCGCUACCAGUACAAUACGGAUGUUGUCUUUGACACACAGGGGAAACUGGUGGCUCGUUACCACAAGUAUAAUCUCUUUGAAGGAGAGAGUCGUCAGUUUAAUUUCCCAAAAGAGCCAGAAGCUGUCACCUUUGAGACUCCUUUUGGGAAGUUUGGCAUUUUCACUUGCUUUGACAUCCUUUUCUAUGAGCCUGCCGUGGUCCUGGUGAACAAGAUGCAGGUGGACACCGUGCUCUUCCUGACAGCUUGGAUGAAUGUCCUGCCCUUUCUGACUGCAGUUCAGUUUCACUCUGCUUGGGCUAUGGGCAUGCGUGUUAAUGUCUUAGCAGCCAACACUCAUAACACCAGCAUGGAAAUGACAGGGAGUGGCAUUUAUGCACCAGCUGGAGCCAGAGCAUACUCCUACAACAUGAAAACUGAAGAUGGUCACCUCCUCAUUGCUAAACUAGAUGCACACCCUCAUCUUUCUCCUGCCACCCCGCCUGCUGUCAACUGGAACUCAUAUGCUUUGAGUGUUGGAAGAUUCUCACAGAAUGACCAUGAAUUCACAGGAAUCAUCUUUGAAGAUCCCUUUACUUUCACAGAGCUCACUAAGCCUGGAGGCAUUCUCACUGUUUGCCAAAAAGAUCUCUGCUGUCACUUGACAUACAAUAUGGCAGAAAAAAGAGAUGAUGAAGUUUAUGUCCUGGGUGCUUUUGAUGGCCUUCAUGUUGUUGAAGGACAGUACUAUCUUCAGAUCUGCUCUCUGCUCAAGUGCCCCAGCACAAACUUGAGCACGUGUGGGCAGCCCGUGGAGACAGCUCAGACCAAGUUUGAGAUGUUCUCCCUCAGUGGCACAUUUGGCACCAGCUACGUCUUCCCAGAAGUGUUGUACAGCGGGGUGCAGCUGGCCCCCGGGGAGUUCAAGGUGCUGCCUGAUGGACGUCUGAUAAGUCAGAAUCCAACGUCAAAGCCACUUUUGAGUGUAACACUCUUUGGGAGGUGGUAUGAAAAGGACCCUCCACACACAGAUCAAGCUUCACCAUGACUUCACAGCAGAUCCUUCAAGCUUUCAUCUGCUUGUUUCUGUAACACUAAUUAAUUACAAAUAAUGAUCCUGAAUGAUGGACGCUUGAUAAGGAAGAAGGAACCAAUGAAACCAGUCAUUACUGUGAUACUUUCUGGAUGGUGAUAUGAAAGGGAUCAUCUGAAACAAGACCCACAACCAACAUCCCUUCCCGUGAUAUUUCUCUAACUGAAGCUCCACUCUGGUAUUGUGUUUAUGUCCAAAUGUGACACAGCAUCAUCUACAACAACAAUCCCAAUUAUGUUUCUCAUUUCCAGUUGCAAAAUCUCAUCAAUGUGUUUGGUUUAGUAAUAAUGUGGCAAUAUUAUCUUAUUACUACAAUUUAUUGAGAAGAAUCUGUUUCUAUGUCAUAAGAUUACUAUAAUUUUAUCAGUUCAAAACAGCAGUUGUUUUUCUCUGUUUGCUGGAUUUUUAUUUUUCUAACCCUCAGAAAACUUGAAUUGUAGUCCAGAGUAUACAUUCUUAUUAAACCAGCAUUGCAUAUUUUUUCAUUGC